Molecule: long non-coding RNA, 129 nt
Filed under: Ictidomys tridecemlineatus (thirteen-lined ground squirrel)
Lineage: Eukaryota; Metazoa; Chordata; Mammalia; Rodentia; Sciuridae
Description: lncRNA (ENSSTOG00000034008.1)
Source: RNAcentral
GCUGGGGACUGCAGUGAGAAGAUCACACGGCACAGAUCAUACUAAGACAUUCACCUCCUGGUAUCCUGUUCCUGUAAGAGAAUGAGGCCAGUGUGAUAGCUAGAGCCUGUGGAUCUCCCAUUCUUGCCU